GAUGAACGCUGGCGGCGUGCCUAAUACAUGCAAGUCGAGCGAACAGACGAGGAGCUUGCUCCUCUGACGUUAGCGGCGGACGGGUGAGUAACACGUGGAUAACCUACCUAUAAGACUGGGAUAACUUCGGGAAACCGGAGCUAAUACCGGAUAAUAUAUUGAACCGCAUGGUUCAAUAGUGAAAGACGGUUUUGCUGUCACUUAUAGAUGGAUCCGCGCCGCAUUAGCUAGUUGGUAAGGUAACGGCUUACCAAGGCAACGAUGCGUAGCCGACCUGAGAGGGUGAUCGGCCACACGGGAACUGAGACACGGUCCAGACUACUAAGGGAGGCAGCAGUAGGGAAUCGUACGCAAUGGGCGAAAGCCUGACGGAGCAACGGCGCGUGAGUGAUGAAGGUCUUCGGAUCGUAAAAAUCUGUUAUUAGGGAAGAACAAAUGUGUAAGUAACUAUGCACGUCUUGACGGUACCUAAUCAGAAAGCCACGGCUAACUACGUG
Molecule: ribosomal RNA, 497 nt
Filed under: uncultured bacterium
Lineage: Bacteria
Description: partial 16S ribosomal RNA
Rfam family: Bacterial small subunit ribosomal RNA
Source: RNAcentral